This is a non-coding RNA of Fragilaria crotonensis, 73 nucleotides long. The record is from the annotation of a GenBank genome assembly. NCBI's taxonomy places the organism in Eukaryota, Bacillariophyta, Fragilariophyceae, Fragilariales, Fragilariaceae.
GGGGAAAUAGCUCAGUUGGUAGAGCGCGUGCUUAGCAUGCACGAGGUCCCGGGUUCGAUUCCCUGUUUCUCCA